Molecule: ribosomal RNA, 253 nt
Filed under: uncultured bacterium
Lineage: Bacteria
Description: partial 16S ribosomal RNA
Rfam family: Bacterial small subunit ribosomal RNA
Source: RNAcentral
UACGGAGGGGGCUAGCGUUGUUCGGAAUUACUGGGCGUAAAGCGCACGUAGGCGGCUUUGCAAGUCAGAGGUGAAAGCCCGGGGCUCAACCCCGGAAUAGCCUUUGAGACUGCAUCGCUAGAAUUGUGGAGAGGUAAGUGGAAUUCCGAGUGUAGAGGUGAAAUUCGUAGAUAUUAGGAAGAACACCAGUGGCGAAGGCGGCUCACUGGUCCGGUACUGACGCUGAGGUGCGAAAGCGUGGGGAGCAAACAGG